This 253-nucleotide ribosomal RNA is filed under the name uncultured bacterium. RNAcentral describes it as "partial 16S ribosomal RNA". It matches the Rfam family "Bacterial small subunit ribosomal RNA", at positions 524 to 776 of the family's 1533-position model. The record is from RNAcentral.
UACGAAGGGUGCUAGCGUUGUUCGGAAUCACUGGGCGUAAAGCGCGCGUAGGCGGCGAUGAAAGUCAGGGGUGAAAUCCCAGAGCUCAACUCUGGAAUUGCCUUUGAAACUGUAUUGCUUGAGUGUCGGAGGGGAUAGCGGAAUUGCUAAUGUAGAGGUGAAAUUCGUAGAUAUUAGCAGGAACACCGGUGGCGAAGGCGGCUAUCUGGACGACAACUGACGCUGAGGCGCAAAAGCGUGGGGAUCAAACAGG